AGAAUCAACGCUGGCGGCGUGCCUCAGACAUGCAAGUCGAACGCGAAAGUCCCCUUCGGGGGGCAAGUAGAGUGGCGCACGGGUGAGUAACACGUAGGUAAUCUACCUUCGGAUGGGGAAUAACAAUCGGAAACGGUUGCUAAUACCGCAUAAUGCAGCGGCACCUAAUGGUGACAGUCGUUAAAGCGGGGGAUCGAAAGACCUCGCGUCUGAAGAGGAGCCUGCGGCGGAUUAGCUAGUUGGUAAGGUAACGGCUUACCAAGGCGACGAUCCGUA
RNAcentral lists this ribosomal RNA (276 nucleotides) under uncultured soil bacterium. RNAcentral describes it as "partial 16S ribosomal RNA". It matches the Rfam family "Bacterial small subunit ribosomal RNA", at positions 26 to 285 of the family's 1533-position model. The record is from RNAcentral.